GAUGUCGACUUGGAGGUUGUGCCUUGAGCGUGGCUUCCGGAGCUAACGCGUUAAGUCGACCGCCUGGGGAGUACGGCCGCAAGGUUAAAACUCAAAUGAAUUGACGGGGGCCCGCACAAGCGGUGGAGCAUGUGGUUUAAUUCGAUGCAACGCGAAGAACCUUACCUGGCCUUGACAUCCAGAGAACUUAGCAGAGAUGCUUUGGUGCCUUCGGGAACUCUGAGACAGGUGCUGCAUGGCUGUCGUCAGCUCGUGUUGUGAAAUGUUGGGUUAAGUCCCGCAACGAGCGCAACCCUUAUCCUUUGUUGCCAGCGGUUCGGCCGGGAACUCAAAGGAGACUGCCGGUGAUAAACCGGAGGAAGGUGGGGAUGACGUCAAGUCAUCAUGGCCCUUACGGCCAGGGCUACACACGUGCUACAAUGGCGCAUACAAAGAGAAGCGACCUCGCGAGAGCAAGCGGACCUCAUAAAGUGCGUCGUAGUCCGGAUUGGAGUCUGCAACUCGACUCCAUGAAGUCGGAAUCGCUAGUAAUCGUAGAUCAGAAUGCUACGGUGAAUACGUUCCCGGGCCUUGUACACACCGCCCGUCACACCAUGGGAGUGGGUUGCAAAAGAAGUAGGUAGCUUAACCUCCGGGAGGGCGCUUACCACUUUGUGAUUCAUGACUGGGGUGAAGUCGUAACAAGGUAACCAAGGGCGAAUUCCAG
This 706-nucleotide ribosomal RNA is filed under the name uncultured Pantoea sp. RNAcentral describes it as "bacterial SSU rRNA". It matches the Rfam family "Bacterial small subunit ribosomal RNA", at positions 808 to 1516 of the family's 1533-position model. The record is from RNAcentral. Lineage: Bacteria; Pseudomonadati; Pseudomonadota; Gammaproteobacteria; Enterobacterales; Erwiniaceae.